Podarcis raffonei (Aeolian wall lizard) is the source of this 1957-nucleotide long non-coding RNA. RefSeq lists it as uncharacterized. The record is from RefSeq and is a predicted model, not a curated record. Lineage: Eukaryota; Metazoa; Chordata; Lepidosauria; Squamata; Lacertidae. The transcript is spliced from 3 exons.
CCACCCUCUGCCUUGUACUCAGUUACCUGUUUGUGACUAGCUAGGCUUCAUGGCAGCCAUUUUGUGAUUAGCCAUGCUCUCCCAAUGGCAGCCAUUUUGUGGUGAUGCCCACCAGUUUCUCAAAUUUCUACAUGCGCUCAGCAAUAUGGAGUGCUUAACAACAGAAUAUGGCAGAAUAAGAUUAACCAGAAAAUGUAUUGGCAUCUUGUCUGUCUUCUAUUUCCACUUCUCAUUAAAGUUUCAAAACUAGUUUUGCUGCCAAAAGUAACGUCCCACUUAAAUAUUCAGAAGCAGAUAGGUGGUAUAUCACAACACUAAAACAAAUAAUCCUUAUGGGGAAAUGUGGCGUGCAUUCCCAGAAGCUUAAACAGAAUAAGAAGUUCAUGACGAUUAAUCAUCUUUCACUUUCUUGUGCUUCCUUUUAAUUGUGUGAAUCUACAGCAAAGGACCAAUUUGUAGACAUUUUUUCAGCAAACCAGAGACAGGCUUAGAUUGUAGUCUGUGGCUAUCAGCCUUAAGUACAACACCGCUCUUGGGAGUUGUUUUCUAGCUGAAUUAACUUUGUACAAUGCUGAUGAAAGACAGAUACUAAAAAUUAAAUCUUGAUAAAUGUGGUUCUUUUUUAAAAAGCAAAAAAAUGUACUACACAUUUUGUUUAUCAGCAUACAAUAUAAAGGAAACCACGUUGCUGAGUAGUUGCUUUCCCUUUACCUCUAAUAAUCUGAUACUGAAGGCAUGGAACAAACCAAAACACAGAUGGGACCAAAUGUUGAGUUGUAGGACUCUACUUUUCUCAUACUGGAAGUAUCCACAGUUCAAGGACUGCAGGAAAUUUGCAGUAACAGUCAGAAGCAUACAUAUGGGUCAGCCAUUAAGUGCUACUUAAUGAGGGGUUCAGCAAGGAUAAUGUCCACUCCUACUUCAAUCUCCCUGAGUUGGAAAGCAAACAAUCAGGGAGCUUCCUAUUCUCACAGAGGGCCCACACACUCACAGGUUUGCCCUCCAACUGGGCCUGGCCCACCAAUAAGGCAAGUGGAGGCGACCACCUCAUCUUGCUGCUAGUUAUGGAACCUCUUGGGACAGUCUUAUUUGCUUUGUUAUGAAAUUCCCUUCAUAUUAAGACACUUAUCAUUUCUCAUUGUCUAUAAUGGAUUAGGAUGUAAUUUGCAAAUGGAUCUCUUGUUUUAAAGUUACGCUUGCAAUAAAAUAACCAGAGCCAAUUUCAGAAAUAUCUUUUGUGUAAUUGUGAAAUAAUGAAAAGACACCCUUGGGAAUCUGCUUCAACAUCGAAAUGGCUUAAAACAUUUUGGAAGAUUGCGAUGGAAUAUAUUGUUGAAUUGAAACAAUAUAAAUGUGAAACUCUUCAGUUCAAAUUGAUGAGUUCAUUAGAAAUUAAUGGUAGCAAAACAAGGGGGAAUGACAGCUUGUUUCUGGGUCUGGCUUGUGAAACACACAGGUAUGUAAUUGCUUUUGAAAACAAUUAAGACAAAAAUGUGAAGCUGGUAUAUAAGCCUAUUGUAUAAAGUAUACAGAAUAUAUAUCCUUUGAAUAUCUCAAAUGACACUCCAUCCCUAUGAUCCUCUUGAGUGUUAAGAUCAGGAGAGGAAAGUCUCUCAGUAGUUCCACCACCCUCAGAAGUGUGGGGAAUGGUGACCCAAAGAGGGCUUUUUCUGUGGCAGUCCCUGUGUUGUAAAAUUCAGUCCCCACAGAGGUGCAUCUAGCACUGUCAUGAUUCAACUUCCGCUGCUUGCUGGAAACACACUUCUUUAUCCUAGUCUUAGUUCUACACGGAUCUUUAGUUUCACCACAUAAUCUCUGUUGAGACAUUUCAUACCCUGAAAUACCCUGUUCCGGCCAGCACUCUGCGAAGAUGGCGCUCCACCAGGGGAACAGAAAAUCUGGAAGCUGACUUCUUUAUAGGCAAUAUUGUUCGGAAGAGAAAAGUAACAUGAAAAAC